AUGUCGCCACCGACGCCGACGCCUGCCAACGGCGGCAGGCUGGAUCUGGACGGCGUGCUCGUAGCGCUGCUCACCAUCUGCGUGAUCUGGGCCGACGGGUUCAUCUCCUCCCACCUCUGUGAGAAGCUCAUGGCCGAGACCCCGCACUCUGUCCUCGCUGUCGACCACCUCGUCGACCCACCCCCGCCCCACCUUGCCGGCUGCAUCUCCUUCCCCUGCCUCAACAUCAUGAACAACUCCCGCCUGGAGGGCCUCAUCAAGACCAUCGACGACGGACAACCACCACUGUCGACCAUCACCAUGCAGUCCAGCUCCAAAGCGGCCGGCGGUAAUGGCGACGAGAAGCACUUGGUUUGCGUGACCGGGGCGGGGAGCUACAUCGGCUCUUGGGUGGUGAAGGAGCUCCUCCUCCGUGGCUACCACGUCAGGGGAACCGCCAGGGAUCCCUCUGACCGCAAGAAUGCGCACUUGCUGGCGCUGGAUGGCGCCCAGGAGAGGCUCACCCUGUGCCGUGCCAAUGUGCUUCACUACGACGGCCUCUGCGACGUGUUCCAAGGAUGUCACGGCGUCUUCCACGUCGCCUCCCGGGUCUCCAACGAUCCCGAGCUCGUGCCGACGGCCGUGGAGGGAACGAUGAACGUGAUCAACGCGGCGGCGGACGCGGGCGUGCGGCGUGUGGUGUUCACUUCAUCCUACGGCGCCGUGCACAUGGACCCCAACCGGAGCCCCGACAUCGUCCUCGACGAGUCGUGCUGGAGCGACUAUGACUACUGCAAACAAACCGGCAACCUGUACUGCUGCGCCAAGAUGAUGGCGGAGGUCGCGGCGACGGAGGAGGCGGCUAGGAGGGGACUGGAGCUGGCCGUGGUUGUGCCGGCCAACACCGUCACCGGCUACAUUGAUGUCCGGGACGUCGCUCGCGCGCACGCUCUCGUCUACGAGCACCCAGACGCCCGCGGCCAUCGCUACCUCUGCGUCAGGGCCGUGCUGCACCGCGCCGACUUCGUCGGCCUCCUCAGGGACCUCUACCCGCAGUACCCCGUCACGGCCAAGUGUGAAGACGACGGCAAGCCAACAGCGAGCCCGUACAGGUUCUCGAACCAGAGGCUCAGGGACUUGGGGCUGGAGUUCACUGACAUGAGGACAAGCUUCUACGACACUGUGAUAUGCCUGCAGAGCAGGGGUCAUAUCCCCGUCAUCGUGCCACGUCAGCGUGCAUGCUUGUAA
This 1227-nucleotide ribosomal RNA is filed under the name Triticum aestivum (bread wheat). RNAcentral describes it as "partial small subunit ribosomal RNA". Lineage: Eukaryota; Viridiplantae; Streptophyta; Magnoliopsida; Poales; Poaceae. The record is from RNAcentral.